GAUUAUGGCUCAGGACGAACGCUGGCGGCGUGCUUAACACAUGCAAGUCGAACGAUGACGGUGGUGCUUGCACCGCCUGAUUAGUGGCGAACGGGUGAGUAACACGUGAGUAACCUGCCCUCCACUUCGGGAUAACCUCGGGAAAUCGUGGCUAAUACCGGAUAUGAGCACUCAUCGCAUGGUGGGUGUUGGAAAGAUUUAUCGGUGGGGGAUGGACUCGCGGCCUAUCAGUUUGUUGGUGAGGUGAUGGCUCACCAAGACGAUGACGGGUAGCCGGCCUGAGAGGGCGACCGGCCACACUGGGACUGAGACACGGCCCAGACUCCUACGGGAGGCAGCAGUGGGGAAUAUUGCACAAUGGGCGAAAGCCUGAUGCAGCGACGCCGCGUGGGGGAUGACGGCCUUCGGGUUGUAAACCCCUUUCAGUAGGGAAGAAGCGAGAGUGACGGUACCUGCAGAAGAAGCGCCGGCUAACUACGUGCCAGCAGCCGCGGUAAUACGUAGGGCGCAAGCGUUGUCCGGAAUUAUUGGGCGUAAAGAGCUUGUAGGUGGCUUGUCGCGUCUGCCGUGAAAACCCGAGGCUCAACCUCGGGCGUGCGGUGGGUACGGGCAGGCUAGAGUGUGGUAGGGGAGACUGGAACUCCUGGUGUAGCGGUGAAAUGCGCAGAUAUCAGGAAGAACACCGAUGGCGAAGGCAGGUCUCUGGGCCAUUACUGACACUGAGAAGCGAAAGCAUGGGUAGCGAACAGGAUUAGAUACCCUGGUAGUCCAUGCCGUAAACGUUGGGCACUAGGUGUGGGGGACAUUCCACGUUUCCGCGCCGUAGCUAACGCAUUAAGUG
This 841-nucleotide ribosomal RNA is filed under the name Brachybacterium sp. RNAcentral's name for it is "bacterial SSU rRNA". It matches the Rfam family "Bacterial small subunit ribosomal RNA", at positions 15 to 866 of the family's 1533-position model. The record is from RNAcentral. Lineage: Bacteria; Bacillati; Actinomycetota; Actinomycetes; Micrococcales; Dermabacteraceae.